Molecule: non-coding RNA, 561 nt
Organism: Aegilops tauschii subsp. strangulata
Lineage: Eukaryota; Viridiplantae; Streptophyta; Magnoliopsida; Poales; Poaceae
Source: RefSeq, a predicted model, not a curated record
UCCUAUCCCAUCCAGGGCCUCGCCCCGUCUCCUCCUAUCCCCUCCAGGGCCUCGCCCCGUCGGCCCUUAUCCCCAGCACGGCCUCGCCCCGCCCCCUCCUCUGACCACCGCGGCCUUGCCUCGCCGCCAACCCCGCGGAUCUUCCCUGGAUCGACUCUGCCGCCUCCAUCCUACUGCCCCAGAGGAUAUCGAGAUGUGAGCUGGUCGACACAAUUCGGGAGCAGGCAUAUCGAAUUGGAUCGAGAUCCAGUGCGUCAUCAAGUUGCUCUGGGAAGGAGUUCGCAGCUCGCGUACGUGCUCUACAGGAUCAGCCUAAUCUCUCUGUCGCCGCUGUUGUUGGCUUGCAAUAGACCAGACUAUUGCCAGAGGUACCACAAAGUGGUUGAUUCAAAGUUCGCACUAUUUAUAUCACAGGAUGGUACAAAUGGAGAAGUAAAAAAAAAGGCAUGGAGUUAUACCCAAAUAAUUUAUGCAGCCCAAUGAAGUGUAUCGCCUUGAGCUCCAUUAUUUAGGCCAGAUCUCAUGAGAGGUGUUGUGUCAAUUGCAUUGGCAUACAAUAAG